Cucurbita maxima (winter squash) is the source of this 3762-nucleotide RNA transcript. It is a transcript of the gene named lysine-specific demethylase JMJ706-like, with no coding region annotated. NCBI's taxonomy places the organism in Eukaryota, Viridiplantae, Streptophyta, Magnoliopsida, Cucurbitales, Cucurbitaceae. The record is from RefSeq and is a predicted model, not a curated record. The transcript is spliced from 12 exons.
AUCCUCUCGAAGCAACUUUUUUUUGUUUUCUAAGCCUUUCGCUCCUUUUCUCCUCGCUUUCAUUUUCUACUGUUCUCUCCCUCCAGUUUCUCUCUCUUGCCUCUCUCUCUCUCUCUCUCGCCGGUGAAUCUCCUUUUCCUCUCGUCGGUAAAGUGCACGCCGUCUCCGAGCACUGCCGUCUUCAGCCUCGGAGAUUCUCUCUUUAUUGCCGCUUGCGUGUGCUCGUCGCUUUCCUCCGAUUCCGCUCUGGAACCUCUGGAUCUCGGAAAAUCUGGUUGUUCUUGUUCUUCGUCUCUUUUGAGAAUGUGGUCCGCUUCCUCCUCCUUUCGCUCCUGCGCUUGAAUGCUCCUACUUGGACUGUGAUCUAGGGUUUCGGUUUCUGGAUUUUCGAUUUGUUUUUAACUCUGUUUCUCCGUGGUGGUGCUGUUUCGACGAAGAGAACGAAGACGGAGGCGAGUAAGAAUAAGACGCAGCUCCGGGAUGAGAUGGUGGAGGGAAAAAAUUGUAAAUCGAGAGAGGAUAGAAAUGGGCUAGCUCUUCUGAAGCUCAAGAGGCUUCAGGCUACAAAUUCUGAAACUGCCAACAAAACUUCAUCUGUCAAGAAUAUGAUGAAUAGAAGUGGAGGUGAUGCUUUAAGGGUCUCAUCUACUUGUGGUGUGAGAUUACUUAGUGGCAAUGUAGAAACCUUUUCUCGUUCAAGUGGCAUGUCGAAUGAGAGGGAUGUCUUUUCUAAAAGGAGAGUAGACAAGUUUGAGUAUGAUGAUUUAGAGUGGACCGAAAAGAUUCCGGAAUGCCCUGUAUAUUCUCCGUCAAAGGAGGAAUUUGAGGAUCCUUUGGUCUAUUUGCAAAAGAUAGCUCCUGAAGCCUCAAAAUACGGCAUAUGCAAGAUUAUCUCCCCACUGAUUGCUUCUGUUCCUGCUGGUGCUUUAUUAAGUAAGGAGAAACCAGGUUUCAAGUUUACAACGAGAGUGCAACCUUUUCGCUUUGCUGAAUGGGAUACUGAUGAUCAGGUUACCUUUUACAUGAGUGGCAGGAACUAUUCAUUUCGCGAUUUUGAAAAAUUUGCGAACAAGAUAUAUGCCCGUAGAUAUAGUAGUUCUGGAUGUCUACCUGCCUCAUAUAUGGAAAAGGAAUUUUGGCGUGAAAUUUCUUGUGGAAGGACGGAAAGUGUAGAAUAUGCUUGCGAUGUUGAGGGUAGUGCCUUUUCAUCUUCUCCAUCUGAUGAGCUUGGGACAAGUAAAUGGAAUUUGAAGAAUCUUUCUCGGCUGCCCAAGUCCAUACUACGCCUGCUGGAAAAUCCAAUACCGGGAGUAACGGACCCCAUGCUUUAUAUUGGAAUGCUGUUUAGUAUGUUUGCGUGGCAUGUGGAGGAUCAUUAUCUAUACAGUAUUAAUUAUCAUCAUUGUGGGGCAUCUAAAACUUGGUAUGGCAUUCCUGGUCAAGCAGCUUUGCAGUUUGAAAAUGUUGUCAGGGAGCAUGUAUACACCCAGGAUAUCUUAUCAACUGUUGGAGAGGAUGGAGCAUUUGACGUGCUUCUGGGGAAAACAACGUUGUUUCCACCCAGUAUUUUGUUGGAUCAUAAGGUGCCUGUAUACAGAGCUGUCCAGAAACCCGGGGAGUUUGUAAUCACCUUCCCCAGAGCAUAUCAUGCUGGAUUCAGUCAUGGCUUCAAUUGUGGUGAAGCAGUAAACUUUGCAAUGGGUGAUUGGUUCCCCCUGGGUGCUGUUGCCAGCCAGCGGUAUGCACUCCUGAACAGGAUGCCUCUACUUCCUCAUGAAGAGCUUCUAUGUAAAGAAGCAAUGCUUCUCUAUACAAAUUCAGAACUUGUAGACCCACAUUAUGCUUCUGCAGAGUCAACCUCUCAUUAUUCUAUCAAGACUUCUUUUGUGAGUAUGAUUCGCUUCCAGCACCGCGCUCGGUGGUCUUUGAUGAAAUCAAGAACAUGCACUGGUGUUUCACCAAAUUUUCAUGGAACCAUUCUUUGCAGCUUGUGCAAACGUGACUGCUAUAUUUCUUAUAUCAACUGCAAUUGUUAUGGACAUCCAGUGUGUCUUCGUCAUGAUAUCAAAUCUCUGAAUUUCUCGUGUGGUAGCAACCGUACACUCUUCUCGUGUGAGGAUAUUUUAGAAAUGGAAUCUGCAGCUCAGAAAUUUGAGCAGGAGUGUGGAACAUUGGAUGAGAUUGGGGGGCAAGCUUAUAAUGGUGAAGAAUUAUAUUCUUAUCCUCUGUUAAAUUUAUUUAAACGAGAUGUUGUGGACGGAUACACUCCUUAUUGCAAGAUAGAAGUGCAGUUGAAUUCUGAAUUUACUGCUGCGGCUAUCUGUCGCUUGGGAGAAAAUGAGUGUGUUUCCAGUAGCCAGCCUACACAAAGUUGUAUCACUGAAAACCAUAGACCUGAACCAUCAGAUCCAUCUCUCUCUUUUGAAGCGUCAACUUUUUGUUCAAUUGUAGACUAUAAUGAAACACUGUCCACCACUAGCCAUGUACAAAAAAAUUCAAGUUUUGAACAGUCUUCUGAAGUUUCGAACAGGGCGCUUGAAUCAUCACGUAACAAUUGCUCAAGUAAAUCUCCAGGCAGUGUACGUGUAUCAGAGCUAACGACUGUUGUAGAUCGUGAAAGUGAUGAUUCUGAUACAGAAAUUUUUAGGGUCAAGCGUCGCCCUCUGAAGCUGGAUAAAAAGACCGGGAGCGAUGCCACAUCUUUAAAACAUUUUGCUAGCCAGCAGGAUGGCCGCAAAAGAUUGAAGAGACUCCAAACAAAUGGGAAUUCUGAGGGAGUAACGCCAUCGUAUGGUCGUGGAACUGACAACUCACGUUAUAAAUUAUACCCUUCCAGUACUUACAAGGACUCUGCAGAGAGUGAUGCAAUUGACAAGUAUAGCAGAGGGAGUACUAUUCCCAUUUCUACUAUGUGCCAGAGAUUCAGCAAGGAGAAACUAAAUAGUAAUAGACAGCGCGUCUAUGAACUCAACAAUCGCAGGAGGGAAAGGUUUCAGCAUGAGAUGGGAAAGCCCAAAAGGGUACUACAUCCACAUCCCUCUAUGGACACUGGGUCAAAGCGUGUCAAAAUUAGAGGCCCAACACCCGGUCGGCCCGAUUGAUCCUAAUGGGCCUGAAGCUCGGCUAUGGUGGCCUUACCUCUCUCUCUGUACAGCCGCAUUUGAUAGAGAGCCUGACUUUGCUAAUCUUAGUCUUCAUUAAUGGGGGUUCUAACCACAACACAAUGGAAAAGCCAUAGAUGAUUUGAUGAUAUGAUUAUUCUUCUGGGAGCAGUGAUACAGCCAUUUAACCUAGGAUGCAACAUUUUAACAUUCUUUGUGAAGGCCUUAAAAAUGGGGGCCGUUCGCACUCAGUCACAUGUGGCGAUGAUGAUGAUGAUGAUUCAGAUUCUUGAGGGUAACCCGAGUCGGUACCGGGCCAUUUAUCCCGCCGUCCUGGGACAACCUUAUCUGCAGCAGCUCUGCUUUAAGCAGAGAGACAAUAUUUUGGGUCUCGUAUUCUUGUGGUGGGGGCAAUAGGCAAAGCGCUGCUGCUCCCAGUCCCAGGUAAAGGACAUGUUUGAAUGAGUGGUGAUAUUGUUUUAUUCUGUUUAGAGAUAUGGUUGCGUGAGACAAAACUAUCCCCCACCCAUCGUCAUUUCCACCUUUUUAUUCCCCCACCCCUUAAAGAUGAAAAGAGAAUAUAUUUGGUUUGAAUGGUGGGGGAAGGUACCAAACCAGAAUUUUUAGAAUGAGAAAGGAACCUUUUUUUUCCUUUUGAAAA